This 492-nucleotide ribosomal RNA is filed under the name uncultured bacterium. RNAcentral describes it as "partial 16S ribosomal RNA". It matches the Rfam family "Bacterial small subunit ribosomal RNA", at positions 29 to 507 of the family's 1533-position model. The record is from RNAcentral.
AGUGAACGCUGGCGGUAGGCCUAACACAUGCAAGUCGAACGGCAGCACAGUAAGAGCUUGCUCUUACGGGUGGCGAGUGGCGGACGGGUGAGGAAUACAUCGGAAUCUACUUUUUCGUGGGGGAUAACGUAGGGAAACUUACGCUAAUACCGCAUACGACCUACGGGUGAAAGCAGGGGAUCUUCGGACCUUGCGCGAUUGAAUGAGCCGAUGUCGGAUUAGCUAGUUGGCGGGGUAAAGGCCCACCAAGGCGACGAUCCGUAGCUGGUCUGAGAGGAUGAGCAGCCCAACUGGAACUGAGACACGGUGCAGACUCCUACGGGAGGCAGCAGUGGGGAAUAUUGGACAAUGGGCGCAAGCCUGAUCCAGCCAUACCGCGUGGGUGAAGAAGGCCUUCGGGUUGUAAAGCCCUUUUGUUGGGAAAGAAAAGCAGCAGGUUAAUACCCCGCUGUUCUGACGGUACCCAAAGAAUAAGCACCGGCUAACUUCGUG